Rosa rugosa (rugosa rose) is the source of this 1538-nucleotide long non-coding RNA. RefSeq lists it as uncharacterized. The record is from RefSeq and is a predicted model, not a curated record. Lineage: Eukaryota; Viridiplantae; Streptophyta; Magnoliopsida; Rosales; Rosaceae. The transcript has 8 exons.
UCUGGGCCGUCCAUUGUUAAAUGGACCAAUUUGAAUAUAGUUGUUGAUCGGAUCAAAGAGAGAGGGAGAGAGAGUAAGCUCGAGAGAGAGAGAGCCCGAGAGCUCGAUGCUCUCAGACCCGAAGCACGACCCGACCGGCGCCACUCCUUCUGGCCACGGCACAGCGGCGGACCACCAGCAUCGUCUUCGUAUCGCUGUCGCCACAAACCUCCUAUGCUUGGAUCGUACAUGCACUGAACGGAGAAGGAGACUCGACGACUGAAAGCUCCGAGACUUCUCCGAAGAGCUCUGCAAUUUCCGGCCACCGUUUGGGCCACCUGAGAUUUGCAGGUCUAGGCGAGGUUUUGGUUGUUUGACGUCGUUUCAAACCUGGAAGACUCAGAUCUACAAAAGCCCCCAACUUCCCAGGUUCGAUAUCGCCGGAUACGCGACAUGCGUCACCGUCCCCUUUACUUUGAAGGCCUUAAGGUGGCUUGAUCAAGAACUUGAGAAUUAUUGCAAAAUCUGGAACUUCAUGUCUCUUUUGCUGUUAUAUUGAAGUUUACAUUUGUUAUCUAUUUCGAAUGCAGUUGUUGGAAAGUUUGCAGGGGUUGAUGUUAAACAAGGAAGGGUAUGCUUCUAUAGGAGGUGGUUCACCCUUGCGUAAGACGACAGAUGAGCAGGUGUUUCUUUGAAGACUCAAGAACUCUAUGCCCUUGUUUUUGUUACUCGCUACUUGGACAUUUUCACCGAUUUCAUAUAUUUAUAUAACACCGUCAUGAAGCUAAUAUUCUAGGGGAGUUAUUUUUCAAUUGUUUGGUACAUUAGGCAGCACAGGAUUGUUCGCAGGUCCUAUGAUAGAGACCAAGACACCUUCCGCCAUCAUUUCCUACUGGCACCAUGUCUAGUUUUGGCCCUAAUAUUCAAUGAGAAGUUCACUUUCAAGGAGGUCAUGUGGUCAUUUUCAUUAUUUUUAGAAGCUGUUGCUAUCCUUCCUCAGCUUGUGCUGUUACAGAGAACGAGAAAUAUUGACAACUUGACAGGGCAAUACGUCUUCCUCCUUGGGUUGGCUGCUUUAUAUCUCUGUUUCAUUCUUGUGUUUGUUGCAAGUAUUUUAUUCAGAAUUAUAUAAAAGUUGCUGGAGGAGAGGUAGCAGAUGCAGCUAUGGGGAGGAACAUGAAGGGAUUUAUGUUUUUUUAUGUUGUAUUUUAUUUGAAGUUGUAUAUGAAUUGUAUAGUAUAUUUUAGAAUUAUACAAUACAUUUUGGCCCUAUUUUUUUUUAUAUAUUCACCAAAUUUUGCCACUGAUGUUGGUGGCAUUGAGAAAACACACUGAUACAAUAACAGUGGGAGAGAAAAAGGUUAUAUGCAGCAUUGGGAUUUGGUAUGCCACUGUUGUUUUAACAGUGUGGAUUGCCCCAAUAGCACCUGCAAUAGAGGGCACUGAUAUCUCAUUAGUGGCUGCAUGGUGGCUAAUGACAUUAGCCACUAUUAUCAGUGUGCUUUGUCCCAAUAGGGACUAAUUCAUAUCAGUGUGCUUUGGGGAAAUUUCUAGUAGUG